GGGAAAAUUGGGGGAGGUUUUGGGGGAAUUGGGGGAGGUUGGGGGGGGAACUGGGGGGGUUCGGGGCUGCAGGGCGCCUCCCGCAGCCCCCGCCGCUUCCUUAGGGCUGUACCGGGAGUACCGGGGGCUGAAGCACCGCGGGGAGCUCGCCCCGUGCCCGCCGGCUGAGGGGAGCCCGGCCAUGGAGCAGGACUCCGGCUGCUGGGGCGCGCACCUCAACCGCCAGCCCAAGGCCCCCACGUCGAGCGCCACCAACCAGCCCGUGCCGGCGGCGUCGGCGCAGCACUUCGGGAGGAAGCUUAAAGCCAACCUGGGCGCCGCCAUAAAGGAGAGGCCGCCGGUGCCCAGGAGGACGCUG
RNAcentral lists this long non-coding RNA (358 nucleotides) under Anser cygnoides (Swan goose). RNAcentral describes it as "lncRNA (ENSACDG00005016660.1)". The record is from RNAcentral. Lineage: Eukaryota; Metazoa; Chordata; Aves; Anseriformes; Anatidae.